RNAcentral lists this long non-coding RNA (232 nucleotides) under Elaeis guineensis (African oil palm). RNAcentral describes it as "long non-coding RNA (EGUI_LNC026480)". The record is from RNAcentral. Lineage: Eukaryota; Viridiplantae; Streptophyta; Magnoliopsida; Arecales; Arecaceae.
CAUGGUGACGUAGGAGUAAAUAUUUGUUGCAACGGUGAUACUCCUUCAAAUUUGUAACAAGUCAAUAAAAAAUCAAAAUUCGGUGGGGCAGUAUGAGGUAUCAUCAUAAGAAUCGAUAAAAUAUAUAGCAAUCAGUGAAAUGCAAGCAUUCUAAUUGGCUUGUUAUAAGUUUGAUGUAGUAUCACCAUUGCAACGAAUAUUUUGUUGUAGAAUAGAUAAUAGGACGGAGGAG